GACGAACGCUGGCGCGUGCUAAUACAUGCAAGUAGAACGCUGAAGAGAGGAGCUUGCUCUUUCUUGGAUGAGUUGCGAACGGGUGAGUAACGCGUAGGUAACCUGCCUUGUAGCGGGGGAUAACUAUUGGAAACGAUAGCUAAUACCGCAUAACAAUGGAUGACACAUGUCAUUUAUUUGAAAGGGGCAAUUGCUCCACUACAAGAUGGACCUGCGUUGUAUUAGCUAGUAGGUGAGGUAAUGGCUCACCUAGGCGACGAUACAUAGCCGACCUGAGAGGGUGAUCGGCCACACUGGGACUGAGACACGGCCCAGACUCCUACGGGAGGCAGCAGUAGGGAAUCUUCGGCAAUGGGGGCAACCCUGACCGAGCAACGCCGCGUGAGUGAAGAAGGUUUUCGGAUCGUAAAGCUCUGUUGUAAGUCAAGAACGGGUGUGAGAGUGGAAAGUUCACACUGUGACGGUAGCUUACCAGAAAGGGACGGCUAACUACGUGCCAGCAGCCGCGGUAAUACGUAGGUUCCCGAGCGUUGUCCGGAUUUAUUGGGCGUAAAGCGAGCGCAGGCGGUUUGAUAAGUCUGAAGUUAAAGGCUGUGGCUCAACCAUAGUUCGCUUUGGAAACUGUCAAACUUGAGUGUAGAAGGGGAGAGUGGAAUUCCAUGUGUAGCGGUGAAAUGCGUAGAUAUAUGGAGCACACCGGUGGCGAAAGCGGCUCUCUGGUCUGUAACUGACGCUGAGGCUCGAAAGCGUGGGAGCGAACAGG
Molecule: ribosomal RNA, 763 nt
Filed under: uncultured Streptococcus sp.
Lineage: Bacteria; Bacillati; Bacillota; Bacilli; Lactobacillales; Streptococcaceae
Description: bacterial SSU rRNA
Rfam family: Bacterial small subunit ribosomal RNA
Source: RNAcentral